Molecule: ribosomal RNA, 495 nt
Filed under: uncultured bacterium
Lineage: Bacteria
Description: partial 16S ribosomal RNA
Rfam family: Bacterial small subunit ribosomal RNA
Source: RNAcentral
GACGAACGCUGGCGGCGUGCCUAAUACAUGCAAGUAGAACGCUGAAGGAGGAGCUUGCUUCUCUGUAUGAGUUGCGAACGGGUGAGUAACGCGUAGGUAACCUGCCUGGUAGCGGGGGAUAACUAUUGGAAACGAUAGCUAAUACCGCAUAAGAGUAGAGGUUGCAUGACAUUGGCGUAAAAGGUGCAAUUGCAUCACUACCAGAUGGACCUGCGUUGUAUUAGCUAGUUGGUGGGGUAACGGCUCACCAAGGCGACGAUACAUAGCCGAACUGAGAGGGUGAUCGGCCAAACUGGGACGGAGACACGGCCCAGACCCCUAAGGGAGGCAGCCGUAGGGAAUCUUCGGAAAUGGACGGAAGUCUGACCGAGCAACGCCGCGUGAGAGAAGAAGGGCUUCGGAUUGUAAAGCUCUGUUGUACGAGAAGAAAGAGUGUGAGGGUGGAAAGUUCACACUGUGACGUUACCUGAACAGAAAGGGACGGCUAACUCCGUG